UACGGGGGGGCAAGCGUUGUUCGGAAUUACUGGGCGUAGAGGGUUCGUAGGUGGCCAACUAAGUCAGACGUGAAAUCCCUCGGCUUAACCGGGGAACUGCGUCUGAUACUGGAUGGCUUGAGGUUGGGAGAGGGAUGCGGAAUUCCAGGUGUAGCGGUGAAAUGCGUAGAUAUCUGGAGGAACACCGGUGGCGAAGGCGGGUCUCUGGACAGUUCCUGACGCUGAGGCACGAAGGCCAGGGGAGCAAACGGG
Molecule: ribosomal RNA, 252 nt
Filed under: uncultured prokaryote
Description: partial 16S ribosomal RNA
Rfam family: Bacterial small subunit ribosomal RNA
Source: RNAcentral